RNAcentral lists this long non-coding RNA (1029 nucleotides) under Homo sapiens (human). Its description in RNAcentral is "HSALNT0353522". The record is from RNAcentral. Lineage: Eukaryota; Metazoa; Chordata; Mammalia; Primates; Hominidae.
CCUCGUGCCCCAAAACAUGAUGCAACCCAUGGGAAAUCAAGUCACUUGCCAGUCACAUGAAGGUCCCUUGCUAUUCAGCCAGCACAAAGGUCUUUGUGCUGGUCAAUCCAGCUGCAGGAUUCUAGCUUUCCAAGAAGAAGCAAGUUGAUGGGAGCAAGCACUGAAAGUGGAAACAGGCAGAAGCUUGUAAACAGGGUGUACUCCCCACCAUUCAGAGGCAGAGCCAAACCGAGAAUGAAAAACAGCAUCCCAUCGUCUGGUCCUGCCCAGCAACUUCAUCCCAAGCUCAGUGAGAUGCUGUCCCCAGAGCUGCAGCCGGGGAGACUCCUCCAGUUUCACAAGCACACCCUCUUGUAAUUUCCACCUCUUUGGAGUAGCAACUUGGAUAAAUUGAAAAUGGCACAUGAAACAUCUCUGUGCCUUUCAAAGGGAGGGAGCAUCUCUAAUGAGCUUUUGAAAGAAAGCACAGCAUCGCCCAGUGGAAAGAAAUGUGUAGUGACCACCCAGGCCUGCAGACGAGGCUCUACGAUCAAGCGUGGAUGCUAAUUCCUGAUUCCACCCAGUCUCACAUUAAUUCUCAGGAGUCAGAAGACCUACAAAUGUACUCAGGGCAUCCAGAGAGAGGCAGAAUGCUGCUGGAUUGGACACAAAGGACCUGGUCUCUAAUUCUAGUGCCACUUAUUUCCUUCUUCCCCCAGGUCCGCGACUCUGGCUUUGAGACAGCUGCUUUCCCAACUCUCAUUCAUGGGAAACCCACCCUAGCUGAGCUUCCCACCUCAGAGCAAACUGGAGAGAACCCAUGCCAAGUGCUUCAGCAGUCGCGGGGAUGAGAGUCCUACGCAAAUAUGAAAUGUGGCAUGCAGUCUCACAGAAGAACAUGUUCUCACCAAGGAUUGUUACAGAGAGCUGCCUUGUUCAAAGGUCCAAAACGGCUUUGGCAAAGGGUAUCUUUCUUUCCAUAUUUGGCCAGAAAUAUGAGCUGACAGCAAAUGCUAUGAUUUUGAAAUACAUGGCAUAUUAUUUUUGCGA